GACGAACGCUGGCGGCGUGCCUAAUACAUGCUAGUCGAGCGCAGGAAAUCAUCCGAACCCUUCGGGGGGACGUUGAUGGAAUGAGCGGCGGACGGGUGAGUAACGCGUAAAGAACCUGCCCUCAGGUCUGGGAUAACCACGAGAAAUCGGGGCUAAUACCGGAUGGGUCAUCGGAACGCAUGGUCCGAGGAUGAAAGGCGCUUCGGCGUCGCCUGGGGAUGGCUUUGCGGUGCAUUAGCUAGUUGGUGGGGUAAUGGCCCACCAAGGCGACGAUGCAUAGCCGACCUGAGAGGGUGAUCGGCCACACUGGGACUGAGACACGGCCCAGACUCCUACGGGAGGCAGCAGUAGGGAAUCUUCCACAAUGGACGAAAGUCUGAUGGAGCAACGCCGCGUGAACGAUGAAGGCCUUCGGGUCGUAAAGUUCUGUUGUAAGGGAAGAACAAGUGCCGCAGGCAAUGGCGGCACCUUGACGGUACCUUGCGAGAAAGCCACGGCUAACUACGUGCCAGCAGCCGCCGUAA
Molecule: ribosomal RNA, 524 nt
Filed under: uncultured bacterium
Lineage: Bacteria
Description: partial 16S ribosomal RNA
Rfam family: Bacterial small subunit ribosomal RNA
Source: RNAcentral